CACGUAGGGUGCGAGCGUUGUCCGGAAUUAUUGGGCGUAAAGAGCUCGUAGGCGGUGUGUCGCGUCGGCCGUGAAAACCUGCAGCUUAACUGUGGGCUUGCGGUCGGUACGGGCAUCACUGGAGUUCGGCAGGGGAGACUGGAAUUCCUGGUGGAGCGGUGAAAUGCGCAGAUAUCAGGAGGAACACCCGUAGCGAAGGCGGCACUCUGGGCCGAUACUGACACUGAGGAGCGAAAGCGUGGGGAGCGAACAGG
This 254-nucleotide ribosomal RNA is filed under the name uncultured bacterium. RNAcentral's name for it is "partial 16S ribosomal RNA". It matches the Rfam family "Bacterial small subunit ribosomal RNA", at positions 524 to 776 of the family's 1533-position model. The record is from RNAcentral.